CCUCGUUCAAUUUCUGCUGCAUUGGGGUCAUAUAUUUUGAUUUUUUGGGAGAAAUGCCACUUUUUCUACUUAGCUUUAGUUUAGGGGAUGCAACAUCGUCAUCUUCAGGCAGUGGUCCAAGUUCUUUCCUUUUUUCUUUGAGGAUCUUUUCCAGCAUGUGGGCAUCAUUGUAAACCUGGGAGCCUUCCUCGUUAUAAUGCCUUGCAUUUCGGAACAUGAGCUUCAUAUCGUCAAUCAUGGCUUCUUCCCCUACAUACUUAUCAUUACGGAUGUUGUGUUCUAUCAUUUUCAAGUCCAUUGGCUCUAAGAUAAUUUUAUAGUAAUCUGGAUAGUCCUUUUUGGAUGGCUUAACCAUAAACAGAUCGCAAAGCCGUCUGCCUGUGCCUGAUUCUCGAGCUUCUAGAACUGCAUUGUACAAGAUCUUCAUUCGUUGCUUUCGCAUGUUCUUUUUACUUUUCCUUUUGGAGCUUCCAGUAUCAGAUGUAGCAGAAGAAAUCAUACUGUCCCCAUCCUCAAUGUCA
This 521-nucleotide long non-coding RNA is filed under the name Gallus gallus (chicken). The record is from RNAcentral. Lineage: Eukaryota; Metazoa; Chordata; Aves; Galliformes; Phasianidae.